AAUAGAUACCCGGGUAGUCCACCCCGUAAACGUUGGGAACUAGUUGUGGGGUCCUUUCCACGGAUUCCGUGACGCAGCUAACGCAUUAAGUUCCCCGCCUGGGGAGUACGGCCGCAAGGCUAAAACUCAAAGGAAUUGACGGGGACCCGCACAAGCGGCGGAGCAUGCGGAUUAAUUCGAUGCAACGCGAAGAACCUUACCAAGGCUUGACAUACACCAGAACACCCUAGAAAUAGGGGACUCUUUGGACACUGGUGAACAGGUGGUGCAUGGUUGUCGUCAGCUCGUGUCGUGAGAUGUUGGGUUAAGUCCCGCAACGAGCGCAACCCUCGUUCUAUGUUGCCAGCACGUAAUGGUGGGAACUCAUGGGAUACUGCCGGGGUCAACUCGGAGGAAGGUGGGGAUGACGUCAAAUCAUCAUGCCCCUUAUGUCUUGGGCUUCACGCAUGCUACAAUGGCCGGUACAAAGGGCUGCAAUACCGUGAGGUGGAGCGAAUCCCAAAAGCCGGUCCCAGUUCGGAUUGAGGUCUGCAACUCGACCUCAUG
This 546-nucleotide ribosomal RNA is filed under the name uncultured bacterium. Its description in RNAcentral is "bacterial SSU rRNA". It matches the Rfam family "Bacterial small subunit ribosomal RNA", at positions 777 to 1322 of the family's 1533-position model. The record is from RNAcentral.